GGGGAUCGAAAGACCUUAUGCUUUAGGAGCGGCCGAUGUCUGAUUAGCUAGUUGGUGGGGUAAAGGCCUACCAAGGCGACGAUCAGUAGCUGGUCUGAGAGGACGAUCAGCCACACUGGGACUGAGACACGGCCCAGACUCCUACGGGAGGCAGCAGUGGGGAAUUUUGGACAAUGGGCGCAAGCCUGAUCCAGCAAUGCCGCGUGAGUGAAGAAGGCCUUCGGGUUGUAAAGCUCUUUUAGUCGGGAAGAAAGAAUUGUGACUAAUAAUCGCAAUUUAUGACGGUACCGACAGAAAAAGCACCGGCUAACUACGUGCCAGCAGCCGCGGUAAUACGUAGGGUGCGAGCGUUAAUCGGAAUUACUGGGCGUAAAGGGUGCGCAGGCGGUUUUGUAAGUCAGAUGUGAAAGCCCCGGGCUUAACCUGGGAAUUGCGUUUGAAACU
RNAcentral lists this ribosomal RNA (444 nucleotides) under uncultured bacterium. Its description in RNAcentral is "bacterial SSU rRNA". It matches the Rfam family "Bacterial small subunit ribosomal RNA", at positions 195 to 634 of the family's 1533-position model. The record is from RNAcentral.